Molecule: long non-coding RNA, 615 nt
Organism: Acanthopagrus latus (yellowfin seabream)
Lineage: Eukaryota; Metazoa; Chordata; Actinopteri; Spariformes; Sparidae
Exons: 2
Source: RefSeq, a predicted model, not a curated record
GCAGCAAGUGAACAUGUCCACAAAGCUGAUCCGUGUGUGGGGAGUGAAAGUUAGCCUGUGUGGUCCAAUCCAACAGACGGGUUACUGUUUGUCAAAUUGCUGAAGAAGUUAAUGCUGGUUCUGAUGGAAAGGUUUCAGAAUACACAGUGCAUCGCAGUGUGUUACGAGUGGGGCUGCAUAGCUGUAGACCACUCAGGGUGACCAUGCUGUGACCCCCUGUCAACUGCCGAGAGUGCCAACAAUGGGCAAGCAUCAGAACUGGACCAUGGAGCCAUGGAAGAAGGAUGCGCUGGACUAAGAAGUCUGAUCCAUGGAGGCCAAACCUUGCAACUUACAGGACUUAAAGGAUCUGCUGCUAACCUGUUGAUGCCAGAUACUACAGCACACCUUCAGGGGUCUAGUGGAGUCCAUGCCAGGUGGUCAGAAUGUUAUACCUGGUCGGUGUUUUGGCCUCACUCCUUAAGUCACAUCAACACUUAUGGAAAAUAAAUGGAUAUUUACCUGUACUGUACUGCUAUGUAUGUAUGUUGCUUUGUUUCAAAUGUCAGCCCAAAUUCAGAAGUAGAAUAGUUUUAUAUACAUUUUCUAUUAUUUAAAAUAAACUUUUAUUUUGGA